Molecule: ribosomal RNA, 496 nt
Filed under: uncultured bacterium
Lineage: Bacteria
Description: partial 16S ribosomal RNA
Rfam family: Bacterial small subunit ribosomal RNA
Source: RNAcentral
GAUGAACGCUGGCGGCGUGCCUAAUACAUGCAGGUCGAGCGAACGGACGAGAAGCUUGCUUCUCUGAUGUUAGCGGCGGACGGGUGAGUAACACGUGGAUAACCUACCUAUAAGACUGGGAUAACUUCGGGAAACCGGAGCUAAUACCGGAUAAUAUUUUGAACCGCAUGGUUCAAAAGUGAAAGACGGUCUUGCUGUCACUUAUAGAUGGAUCCGCGCUGCAUUAGCUAGUUGGUAAGGUAACGGCUUACCAAGGCAACGAUGCAUAGCCGACCUGAGAGGGUGAUCGGCCACACUGGAACUGAGACACGGUCCAGACUCCUACGGGAGGCAGCAGUAGGGAAUCUUCCGCAAUGGGCGAAAGCCUGACGGAGCAACGCCGCGUGAGUGAUGAAGGUCUUCGGAUCGUAAAACUCUGUUAUUAGGGAAGAACAUAUGUGUAAGUAACUGUGCACAUCUGGACGGUACCUAAUCAGAAAGCCACGGCUAACUACGU